CCAAGUGCCUCAACAAUAUGGUAUUUUAAUGCACUUGUAGCUUCCUAUGUUCCCAGCACUAUCUUUUAAGUAUAAAGACCAGUGGGAAGAAUGAGGCAGGGCAUGUACAUGGUUGGCUCGGAAGCUGGAUGAACUCUAUGGGUAUAUUAACUUCCAGAAAAGUGUCCUGGCAAAAGUUCCCAAGUUUCUCAGCUGGCUCUAGAUUUCCAAAGGAAUGGUAUAAAUUUAAUCAAAACUAAACACUCCUGCAGAGCCUCAUGGUUCCAGCCCAAUGCAAAUUGAAAUGCUGUUUGGAACACGCUUACCAGAUGUUGGAACAGAAGUACCAGGAAACAAAGAGGAGGAUGGUGCUAUUCAGUGACAUAUCCUAGUGCCUGACACACACUGUUUCCAAAAGAGGAAGGUAGCAGCUCUGAAGAUCCAUGCUUAUCAUUCGUGGUUCGAUCUUAAGGGCUGCUGAAGACACACUCUGUUUUAUCAUCCAAUUCAUUUCUCAAUUUGUACCAGAUGCCAUCACUAAGUAGUUACUACUGUCUGUCUUCUAUGAACUGGGUACAUGUCUGUCUGAGGAGACUGCAAUCUGCUCAAUAGACCAAAGAAAUCAGUGAAGAAGGAGUAGAUAUAUACUUCAGAUAUCAAUGAAGGGCUGUGACCCUGUUCUUGUGGACAGAAGAUUAAGAUCACGUUAAACUCUCCUUCCUGAACUGCUGGUGGUGAUAGGGGGUGGUGAGCAAAGAAGAAAAUGAAACCCAAACGAUUUUUGCUCCUACGCCUUUCCCCCAACUUCUUGCACCUCCUGCCAAGGAUCAUAGGAGUUAUCAAUAUAAUGGAUGCUUAUA
Long non-coding RNA from Hyaena hyaena (striped hyena), 839 nucleotides. RefSeq lists it as uncharacterized. The transcript is spliced from 5 exons. NCBI's taxonomy places the organism in Eukaryota, Metazoa, Chordata, Mammalia, Carnivora, Hyaenidae. The record is from RefSeq and is a predicted model, not a curated record.